RNAcentral lists this ribosomal RNA (460 nucleotides) under uncultured bacterium. RNAcentral's name for it is "partial 16S ribosomal RNA". It matches the Rfam family "Bacterial small subunit ribosomal RNA", at positions 338 to 795 of the family's 1533-position model. The record is from RNAcentral.
CCUACGGGUGGCAGCAGUGAGGAAUAUUGGUCAAUGGACGAGAGUCUGAACCAGCCAAGUAGCGUGAAGGAUGACUGCCCUAUGGGUUGUAAACUUCUUUUAUAUGGGAAUAAAAUGUUCCACGUGUGGGUUUUUGUAUGUACCAUAUGAAUAAGGAUCGGCUAACUCCGUGCCAGCAGCCGCGGUAAUACGGAGGAUCCGAGCGUUAUCCGGCUUUAUUGGGUUUAAAGGGAGCGUAGGUGGAUUGUUAAGUCAGUUGUGAAAGUUUGCGGCUCAACCGUAAAAUUGCAGUUGAAACUGGCAGUCUUGAGUACAGUAGAGGUGGGCGGAAUGCGUGGUGUAGCGGUGAAAUGCUUAGAUAUCACGAAGAACGCCGAUUGCGAAGGCAGCUCACUGGACUGCAACUGACACUGAGGCUCGAAAGUGUGGGUAUCAAACAGGAUUAGAUACCCUUGUAGUC